UGCUGGCUUCGGCAGCACACACACUAAAAUGGAGUGAUGCUGAGAAGAUUAGCACGGCCCCUGAGCAGGGACAGUGUGCAAACUCGUGAAGCAUUCCGUAUUUAA
Arvicanthis niloticus (Nile rat) is the source of this 105-nucleotide small nuclear RNA. The record is from RefSeq and is a predicted model, not a curated record. NCBI's taxonomy places the organism in Eukaryota, Metazoa, Chordata, Mammalia, Rodentia, Muridae.